CCCUUAGAUGUUCUGGGCUGCACGCGCGCUACACUGAAGCGUUCAACGAGUAUUCACCUUGCCCGGGAGGGUUGGGUAAUCUUUUGAAAACGCUUCGUGAUGGGGAUAGAUUAUUGCAAUUAUUAAUCUUCAACGAGGAAUGCCUAGUAAGCGCAAGUCAUCAGCUUGCGUUGAUUACGUCCCUGCCUUUGUACACACCGCCCGUCGCUCCUACCGAUUGAAUGGUCCGGUGAAGCGUUCGGACCGUGGCCUUUGGACGGUUCGCCGUCUGUUGGCUGCGGGAAGUUCGUUAAACCUUAUCAUUUAGAGAAAGGAGAAGUCGUAACA
This 327-nucleotide ribosomal RNA is filed under the name uncultured eukaryote. RNAcentral describes it as "partial 18S ribosomal RNA". It matches the Rfam family "Eukaryotic small subunit ribosomal RNA", at positions 1470 to 1796 of the family's 1831-position model. The record is from RNAcentral.